AGCAAGCUUCUUACUCCGUGACAGGUGGUAUCAGAGCAUUGGUUUGCUAUUGGGGUGAUAAUGUCUGACCCAAGUGAAGUUAUUCCCGGGGCCGGUGUUGCUCCUGGAGGGGAGGAGCAAGGAGGCGGCAGAAGGAAGGGGAGAGGCAAAUCAAGGGAUCCUGGCCGAGCUAGGGAGGAAUUGGGAGACGUUGAGACUCGUCUUGCCAAAGUCGAACUGCAUCUCAUUGAGGGAGAGCAGAAGUUCGAGGAAAUGGACAACCGCUUGGAGGAGCUCGAUGGAAAGGUAGAUGAGCUUCAGGAUGAGUUGCGGGGUGCCUUGGACUCAGCAGUCGACAAGCUAGCCAGUGAAGGUGAGUCCCUACGCCUU
Molecule: unclassified non-coding RNA, 369 nt
Filed under: Hevea brasiliensis (rubber tree)
Lineage: Eukaryota; Viridiplantae; Streptophyta; Magnoliopsida; Malpighiales; Euphorbiaceae
Source: RNAcentral